ACAAUGAUACUUCUAUUCAGUCACAGUCCGAGCGUGGAAUGCGUCGCAGGCAAUGAGAGUAGUCCGGGCAGAGCCGGGAAGGUGAAAUUCCUAUGA
Molecule: non-coding RNA, 96 nt
Filed under: human gut metagenome
Description: pemK RNA
Rfam family: pemK RNA
Source: RNAcentral